This is a small nuclear RNA of Perognathus longimembris pacificus (Pacific pocket mouse), 126 nucleotides long. NCBI's taxonomy places the organism in Eukaryota, Metazoa, Chordata, Mammalia, Rodentia, Heteromyidae. The record is from RefSeq and is a predicted model, not a curated record.
GUGUUGUAUGAAAGGAGGGAAGGUUAGCAUGCCCCUUGACAAGGAUGGAAGAGCCCCUUGAGACUGAAAACACACAUACGGUUAAGGCAUUGCCACUUACUUCGUGGCCUUUAACCAUCCUUCCUG